RNAcentral lists this ribosomal RNA (523 nucleotides) under uncultured Trichoderma. Its description in RNAcentral is "eukaryotic LSU rRNA". The stretch from base 149 to 302 matches the Rfam family "5.8S ribosomal RNA". Lineage: Eukaryota; Fungi; Ascomycota; Sordariomycetes; Hypocreales; Hypocreaceae. The record is from RNAcentral.
GCCGGAUUUUGAAAGUAGUCCCACGCCCCAUGUUGAGUCGCAGCCCCGGAACCAGGCGCCCGCCCGAAGGACCAACCAAACUCUUUUCUGUAGUCCCCUCGCGGACGUUAUUUCUUACAGGUCUGAGCAAAAAUUCAAAAUGAAUCAAAACUUUCAACAACGGAUCUCUUGGUUCUGGCAUCGAUGAAGAACGCAGCGAAAUGCGAUAAGUAAUGUGAAUUGCAGAAUUCAGUGAAUCAUCGAAUCUUUGAACGCACAUUGCGCCCGCCAGUAUUCUGGCGGGCAUGCCUGUCCGAGCGUCAUUUCAACCCUCGAACCCCUCCGGGGGGUCGGCGUUGGGGAUCGGGAACCCCUAAGACGGGAUCCCGGCCCCGAAAUACAGUGGCGGUCUCGCCGCAGCCUCUCCUGCGCAGUAGUUUGCACAAGUAGUUUUAACCAAAAGCGAAUCCUGCCCGUAGUUUGGCAAAAGACCCCCAAAACCAAAUGAAAACCCGGCAGUCAUUUUCGAAAACUACCCCAAAAC